RNAcentral lists this ribosomal RNA (402 nucleotides) under uncultured bacterium. RNAcentral's name for it is "bacterial SSU rRNA". It matches the Rfam family "Bacterial small subunit ribosomal RNA", at positions 355 to 774 of the family's 1533-position model. The record is from RNAcentral.
UGGGGAAUAUUGCGCAAUGGGCGAAGGCCUGACGCAGCGACGCCGCGUGAGUGAUGAAGGCCUUAGGGUUGUAAAGCUCUUUCGGCGGGGAAGAUAAUGACGGUACCCGCAGAAGAAGCCCCGGCUAACUUCGUGCCAGCAGCCGCGGUAAUACGAAGGGGGCUAGCGUUGCUCGGAAUCACUGGGCGUAAAGCGCACGUAGGCGGCUUACUAAGUCAGGGGUGAAAUCCUGGAGCUCAACUCCAGAACUGCCUUUGAUACUGGUGAGCUUGAGUUCGGGAGAGGUGAGUGGAACUGCGAGUGUAGAGGUGAAAUUCGUAGAUAUUCGCAAGAACACCAGUGGCGAAGGCGGCUCACUGGCCCGAUACUGACGCUGAGGUGCGAAAGCGUGGGGAGCAAACA